RNAcentral lists this ribosomal RNA (441 nucleotides) under uncultured Campylobacter sp. RNAcentral's name for it is "bacterial SSU rRNA". It matches the Rfam family "Bacterial small subunit ribosomal RNA", at positions 338 to 795 of the family's 1533-position model. The record is from RNAcentral. Lineage: Bacteria; Pseudomonadati; Campylobacterota; Epsilonproteobacteria; Campylobacterales; Campylobacteraceae.
CCUACGGGCGGCAGCAGUGGGGAAUAUUGGACAAUGGGGGGAACCCUGAUCCAGCGACGCCGCGUGGAGGAUGACACUUUUCGGAGCGUAAACUCCUUUUGUUAGGGAAGAAUAAUGACGGUACCUAACGAAUAAGCACCGGCUAACUCCGUGCCAGCAGCCGCGGUAAUACGGAGGGUGCAAGCGUUACUCGGAAUCACUGGGCGUAAAGGACGCGUAGGCGGAUUAUCAAGUCUCUUGUGAAAUCCUAUGGCUUAACCAUAGAACUGCUUGGGAAACUGGUAAUCUAGAGUGAGGGAGAGGCAGAUGGAAUUGGUGGUGUAGGGGUAAAAUCCGUAGAGAUCACCAGGAAUACCCAUUGCGAAGGCGAUCUGCUGGAACUCAACUGACGCUAAUGCGUGAAAGCGUGGGGAGCAAACAGGAUUAGAUACCCGGGUAGUC